This 2025-nucleotide long non-coding RNA is filed under the name Triticum aestivum (bread wheat). Its description in RNAcentral is "long non-coding RNA (TAES_LNC005455)". The record is from RNAcentral. Lineage: Eukaryota; Viridiplantae; Streptophyta; Magnoliopsida; Poales; Poaceae.
GCUUGGUGGCUUGGUGCCUAUAUUUUAGAUGUUCCAUUAAUCUUGGCUGCUUUUCUCACCAGUUUUGGGCUUUAACCUUGGGUAAAUGGACUAAUCUUUUCCUUGUCUUUAAACUGUCUGCUGACAUGCUUAUGCUCUAACAAGUUCCUCUGCUUUCAUUUCUCACGUUGUCAGAUCUAGAAGGUUGCAGCUUCUUUGUUCUCCUACUCAAGAUUUGCUCACUUUCUAGCUGGUUGCUGCAUCAUUUACUUUUUCCUCUGUUCAAGGAUGUAUCGUACACAUUGUCACCUUUUUCCUCUAUUCAGAUAUCGGUGUUGCCUAAUUAAAAAAUGAACAACAAUACCAGUUGUACCAGUUGAAGUUUUUUCUUUCUGAAUUGAGUAGUUAAGAGUUCAGUCUUCCUAUAGAAUCUCCAGGAGUUUAGUUAGGCAUUCUGAAAAAGAGAAGUCUUGUUGAUCAGACGGCUAAACGCUCAUAUCGCUCCUAAACUUGAUACACUGUUUUCCUUUUGAUAUGUCUUGCCAAGCAGAGCGACCAAUGCAAGGAGGACCAAGAUCUAGGACGGUGAGCCUCGCCUAGCUCUUCCACCUCUUCCACCUAUCAUGGAGGAGGGACGAAGGGGGAGAAGAUUACAGCAUGAUUCAGGUUUGACUUCUUUUUUUCUAUUCCAUCUAGCAACUCUGGUGGCAGAACAAAAUUAUCCAGUAAACUUAACUGUUUGUAAGUGUCUUGGUUGUACUAGAAUUUGCAGAAUUUUGUCCAAAGUCUAAUCAACACAAAACUGAAGUUUUUUAUUCUGAUUUUUGACACCAGGAUCAGUUGAGGGUUGAAUGCUUCAAUGGUUCCAGAAAGCUUCAUCCACAAUCCUGACAAAUAUUUCCUUUGAUGUCACAAAGCAUACCAAGAAUUUGAAGUGAGUACGUUUUAUCCCAGCUAACCUGUCAGGCUGUCACCUUUUAGCGAUGUCAUGAAAAAUGAACAUAUGGCAGUCAUUUAUUAUUAAUCUUGUGGUGACAUAUGCAUGACUAUUAGUAGAAUACUUUGUAGUAAGUUGUGUGUAAAUGUUGUGUAGAGAAGGCGAUAGGGAGACUGACGGGGCAUAGAGUGCUUCCGUGUGUUGGGGUAUUUAGCUGAUUGCUCAUUUGGGAGCACUCAAUAGCAUGUUGCAUCUUUAAUUUUAUGAAAUAAAUGCCUUCCUUUGUUUGCUCAUUUUCUUCUGAUAUAAAGGUUUAGAUAUUAGGUAUUUGGUACUCAAGACCAUUUAACUUUCUUUUUUCAUAUAUGAGUAUAGCUGGAUUAUUCAUGUUUCUUACAAUCAAGAAUUUUCCCAUUCAGGUAGAUUGUGAAUUAUUCCUGACAUUUCAGCAAAAUAUCCAUUAUUUCUAUCUGGAAGAUUCUGGGUUGAACUCUCGGAGACUCUUUACGCCGAGACUCUUUACCCAAUAUCACCUCUCCAUGCAGCUCUUCUUUUGAUUCUGUCCAAUUCCUGGCGAUCGGCACGGACCAGAAUACCAUCGCGCAUGCCCUUGGUGUGUGUGCCAGAAUACCAUCGCGCAUGCCCUUAACAUAUGUCUUACUCAAACCUAACACUACUACCAUAUUCAAAUAUUAAUGUACAUUUAUUUGUAAACAACAAGCCUCCAUUCAUUUUUAUACAAAUGGGUUAGAAUUGUUACCAUAGGUGCUUGUCUACAACUAAACCUACCAAGACAUGGGUUCUUUUCAAAGCACACAUGGUGUUUAGCAGGUCUGAGCGCCAUUUGUUACCAUAUCUUCACUGCAACACGGUCUUUAGUGGGAGCGCCUCUCUGGAAACGCCUCUGUCGCCCAGCUGAUGAACCAAGGAAGAAGAGGGCUCGGUGGAUGCAUUCGCCACCGCUUCAUAUUCUUCUCCUGACAGGCCGCAGUCAUCGCUGUUCGUGGGCUGGGCUAGGUAGCAUAUGGGCCAUUCAAAUACCUAUACCUCCGUAUAUGCACAACACAAAGAUGUUUUUUCCCUUCAUGUGCAUAUACAAUAAAAGUUUG